GUGCCAGCAGCCGCGGUAAUACGUAGGUGGCAAGCGUUGUCCGGAUUUAUUGGGCGUAAAGCGAGCGCAGGCGGUUUCUUAAGUCUGAUGUGAAAGCCUUCGGCUCAACCGAAGAAGUGCAUCGGAAACUGGGAAACUUGAGUGCAGAAGAGGACAGUGGAACUCCAUGUGUAGCGGUGAAAUGCGUAGAUAUAUGGAAGAACACCAGUGGCGAAGGCGGCUGUCUGGUCUGUAACUGACGCUGAGGCUCGAAAGCAUGGGUAGCAAACAGGAUUAGAUACCCUGGUAGUCCAUGCCGUAAACGAUGAGUGCUAGGUGUUGGAGGGUUUCCGCCCUUCAGUGCCGCAGCUAACGCAUUAAGCACUCCGCCUGGGGAGUACGACCGCAAGGUUGAAACUCAAAGGAAUUGACGGGGGCCCGCACAAGCGGUGGAGCAUGUGGUUUAAUUCGAAGCAACGCGAAGAACCUUACCAGGUCUUGACAUCCUUUGACCACUCUAGAGAUAGAGCUUUCCCUUCGGGGACAAAGUGACAGGUGGUGCAUGGUUGUCGUCAGCUCCUGUCGUGAGAUGUUGGGUUAAGUCCCGCAACGAGCGCAACCCUUAUUACUAGUUGCCAGCAUUUAGUUGGGCACUCUAGUGAGACUGCCGGUGACAAACCGGAGGAAGGUGGGGACGACGUCAAAUCAUCAUGCCCCUUAUGACCUGGGCUACACACGUGCUACAAUGGAUGGUACAACGAGUCGCGAGACCGCAAGGUUUAGCUAAUCUCUUAAAACCAUUCUCAGUUCGGAUUGUAGGCUGCAACUCGCCUACAUGAAGCCGGAAUCGCUAGUAAUCGCGGAUCAGCAUGCCGCGGUGAAUACGUUCCCGGGCCUUGUACACACCGCCCGU
RNAcentral lists this ribosomal RNA (892 nucleotides) under uncultured bacterium. Its description in RNAcentral is "bacterial SSU rRNA". It matches the Rfam family "Bacterial small subunit ribosomal RNA", at positions 505 to 1397 of the family's 1533-position model. The record is from RNAcentral.